CGAGCGGCGGACGGCUGAGUAACACGUAGGAACGUACCCCAAAGUGAGGGAUAAGCACCGGAAACGGUGUCUAAUACCGCAUGUGAUCUAAGGAUUAAAGCUCCGGCGCUUUGGGAACGGCCUGCGCAUGAUUAGUUUGUUGGUGAGGUAAUGGCUCACCAAGACUACGAUCAUUAGCUGGUCUGAGAGGAUGAUCAGCCAGACUGGGACUGAGACACGGCCCAGACUCCUACGGGAGGCAGCAGUAGGGAAUUUUCCACAAUGGGCGAAAGCCUGAUGGAGCAACGCCGCGUGCAGGAUGAAGGCCUUCGGGUUGUAAACUGCUUUUAUAUGUGACGAUAAUGACGGUAGCAUAUGAAUAAGGAUCGGCUAACUCCGUGCCAGCAGCCGCGGUCAUACGGAGGAUCCAAGCGUUAUCCGGAAUUACUGGGCGUAAAGAGUUGCGUAGGUGGCAUUGUAAGUAGAUAGUGAAAUCGUGUGGCUCAACCAUGCCCACAUUAUCUAAACUGCAAAGCUAGAAGAUGAGAGAGGUUAUUGGAAUUCCCUGUGUAGGAGUGAAAUCCGUAGAUAUAGGGAGGAGCACCGAUGGCGUAGGCAGAUAACUGGCUCAUUCUUGACACUAAGGCACGAAAGCGUGGGUAGCAAACGGGAUUAGAUACCCCGGUAGUCCACGCCGUAAACUAUGGAUGCUAGCUGUUACCCGUAUCGACCCGGGUAGUAGCGAAGCUAACGCGUUAAGCAUCCCGCCUGUGGAGUACGGUCGCAAGACUAAAACAUAAAGGAAUUGACGGGGACCCGCACAAGCGGUGGAGCGUGUUCUUUAAUUCGAUGGUAAGCGAAGAACCUUACCCAGGUUUGACAUCCCGAGAAUUUUGCCGAAAGGCGAGAGUGCCGCAAGGAAUUCGGUGACAGGUGAUGCAUGGCCGUCGUCAGCUCG
Molecule: ribosomal RNA, 937 nt
Filed under: uncultured bacterium
Lineage: Bacteria
Description: bacterial SSU rRNA
Rfam family: Bacterial small subunit ribosomal RNA
Source: RNAcentral